GCCUGGGUGGCUCAGUCGGUUGAGCGUCUGACUUCGGCUCAGGUCAUGAUCUCACAGUCUGUGAGUUCGAGCCCCGCGUCGGGCU
Transfer RNA from Felis catus (domestic cat), 85 nucleotides. It matches the Rfam family "tRNA". From Rfam's summary of the family: Transfer RNA (tRNA) molecules are approximately 80 nucleotides in length. NCBI's taxonomy places the organism in Eukaryota, Metazoa, Chordata, Mammalia, Carnivora, Felidae. The record is from Rfam.